AUAUUUAUUUUUCUUUUUAAUAAUUUUCCUUCAUCGUUACGGUUUAUCCUCUCUCACCCACGUCGAUCCCUCUUUUCCCUAUUCGGAGGAUUAUUUUUCUCUCACGUUCGCAUCUCUCUUUCUAGGAUUUCGACCACCGCCUGCACCACCAGCAUCGCACCACGGCCUAUCUCUUUCCCUAAAUUUCGACCUUAUCGAAGACCACCCACCACCACGUCACCAUUGCGCCACCACCGCACAAGCCGCCACCACCAGUACAUCUUCUGGCUAUCUCUUGCAGAAAUUAGACCAUAUCAAGAACCAAGCUUCACUACUACACCGCGCCACAACCAAUCUCUCUUCAAUUCGGCAUAGUGAUCUUUCGAUAUCUUUUGAUCAUGACAAAACAUAAUGGAACUGAUGACACAUUGUGGUGAGAAGGGUUUUGAGAUUCAGGUGUUGUGGAUUUCAUUAAUGCAGAUAAAGCAACAGAUGACCCUGAAGAAAAUGGAGAAUGAGAAACUAAAGGUAGAAGUUGUUCAAAUCCUAAAGGAGAACUGCGACAAGUGAUGGAUCUGCAGAUGCACAUGAACUUAGACAAGCCUAUUCUAGUGAACUAUUGGAGCACUUGGCAUCCAAGAACCUAAUUGAGUUGUGCAGUUAAGCAACGUUAAGGAUUUUCGACAAUCGGAGACUUGAGAAUUAGUUAGGCAUAAAAUAAAUUAGUUUUGUUAUUUUUGACAACAUGAUAUGCGAUUAUAUAUUGUUGGAUAUUUUUGUGUUUAAAGGAUUCUCGUUUAUUUCAAAUUGUAUUGGAUCGAAAUUUAUUGGAAAGCAGACUUAUGUA
Molecule: non-coding RNA, 826 nt
Organism: Erythranthe guttata (spotted monkey flower)
Lineage: Eukaryota; Viridiplantae; Streptophyta; Magnoliopsida; Lamiales; Phrymaceae
Source: RefSeq, a predicted model, not a curated record